This 353-nucleotide ribosomal RNA is filed under the name uncultured bacterium. Its description in RNAcentral is "bacterial SSU rRNA". It matches the Rfam family "Bacterial small subunit ribosomal RNA", at positions 527 to 881 of the family's 1533-position model. The record is from RNAcentral.
UGAAGGUCCGGNCNUUAUCCGGUAUUUAUUGCNNUUAAAGGNANCGUACGCCGGAGAUUAAGCGUGUUGUGAAAUGUACAUGCUCAACGCCUGCACUGCAACGCGAACUGGUUUCCUUGAGUACGCACAAAGUGGGCGGAAUUCGUGGUGUAGCGGUGAAAUGCUUAGAUAUCACGAAGAACUCCGAUUGCGAAGGCAGCUCACUGGAGCGCAACUGACGCUGAAGCUCGAAAGUGCGGGUAUCGAACAGGAUUAGAUACCCUGGUAGUCCGCGCGGUAAACGAUGGAUGCCCGCUGUUGGUCUGAAUAGGUCAGCGGCCAAGCGAAAGCAUUAAGCAUCCCACCUGGGGAGU